RNAcentral lists this long non-coding RNA (408 nucleotides) under Rattus norvegicus (Norway rat). RNAcentral describes it as "long non-coding RNA NONRATT031944". The record is from RNAcentral. Lineage: Eukaryota; Metazoa; Chordata; Mammalia; Rodentia; Muridae.
CUCGGACUCACAUUGAAAAUCCACUCUCAACCCCCCAUCAGCAGCCCGAGGGCCAUUCUGAGGCCUGUUUUCCAGGACCACACUGCUGCCUUCAGACCCUAUGCAGAAAGCCCACUUGUAAAUUAUUCAUUUUGAAGUCACAUUCCCUGGAGCUGUGUGUCGAUGCUGCUACCAUAGACAGAACUGCCUCAGCCCUGGAGACACAGAAAAGAACAGAAUGGAAUUUCUAGAACUGUCAGACCAAGGUACUUUUGCUGAUAAUGCCCAAUGAAAGGUCAGGAUGCCCCUUCCCUCUUCCACAUUCAAUACUGUGAUCUAAAGGAGAGGAAAGUUGGACAAAAUGAUUAAGAACAUUUCUUUAGGCAGCUCUAAUCCUUCAGACUCUAUGAAAUGCACCCUUCUGAGGAC